GACGAACGCUGGCGGCGUGCUUAACACAUGCAAGUCGAACGGAAAGGCCCUGCUUUUGUGGGGUGCUCGAGUGGCGAACGGGUGAGUAACACGUGAGUAACCUGCCCUUGACUUUGGGAUAACUUCAGGAAACUGGGGCUAAUACAGGAUAGGAGCUCCUGCUGCAUGGUGGGGGUUGGAAAGUUUCGGCGGUUGGGGAUGGACUCGCGGCUUAUCCGCUUGUUGGUGGGGUAGUGGCUUACCAAGGCUUUGACGGGUAGCCGGCCUGAGAGGGUGACCGGCCACAUUGGGACUGAGGUACGGCCCAGACUCCUACGGGCGGCAGCAGUGGGGAAUAUUGCACAAUGGGCGGAAGCCUGAUGCAGCAACGCCGCGUGCGGGAUGACGGCCUUCGGGUUGUAAACCGCUUUCGCCUGUGACGAAGCGUGAGUGACGGUAAUGGGUAAAGAAGCACCGGCUAACUACGUG
RNAcentral lists this ribosomal RNA (468 nucleotides) under uncultured bacterium. RNAcentral's name for it is "partial 16S ribosomal RNA". It matches the Rfam family "Bacterial small subunit ribosomal RNA", at positions 28 to 507 of the family's 1533-position model. The record is from RNAcentral.